GUGUAUUGUGAACACCUGGGUGUGCGAUGGCUACGCUGAUUGUCCUGAUGGCAGCGAUGAAGUGGGCUGUCCCACAGUCAAAGGCUCAGUGACUCCAGUGGCAACUCUUCCUCCAUCGGGCCGCUGUACUAAAGAUCAGUUCCUGUGCCUGAAACCUCCAGUCUGUAUUGCUGAUUGGAAGCGCUGUGAUGGACAUCCUCACUGCCAGGAUGGGUCUGAUGAGGACAACUGUCCCACUCAUGGUCCGUUGCUCUGUGUGAAUGGUACUCUCUGUGCGGACGGCGAGGCCUGUGUGCUGAACAGCGAGAGGUGUGAUGGCUUCAUAGACUGUUCUGACCGGAGUGACGAGGACAACUGCACUGUGGAUUUGCUGGUCUACAAGAUUCAAAAUCUACA
Sinocyclocheilus grahami is the source of this 396-nucleotide long non-coding RNA. RefSeq lists it as uncharacterized. The transcript is spliced from 4 exons. Lineage: Eukaryota; Metazoa; Chordata; Actinopteri; Cypriniformes; Cyprinidae. The record is from RefSeq and is a predicted model, not a curated record.